GACGAACGCUGGCGGCGUGCUUAACACAUGCAAGUCGAACGGAAAGGCCCGGCGUUUGUUGGGUGCUCGAGUGGCGAACGGGGGAGUAACACGUGAGUGACCUGCCCUUGGCUGUGGGAGAACUUCAGGAAACUGGGGCUAAAACCGGGUAUGAGAUCGGGCGGCAUGGGGGGGUUUGGAAAGAUGGGGCGGUUGGGGAUGGACUCGCGGCUUAUCAGCUUGUUGGUGGGGUAGUGGCUUACCACGGCUUUGAGGGGUAGCCGGCCUGAGAGGGUGACCGGCCACAUUGGGCCUGGGAUACGGCCCAGAGUCCUACGGGGGGCAGCGGUGGGAACUAUUGCACAAUGGGCCGCAGCCUGAUGCAGCAACGCCGCGUGCGGGAUGACGGCCUUCGGGUUGUAACCCGCUUUCGCCUGUGACGAACCGUCAGUGACGGUAAUGGGUAAAGAAGCACCGGCUAACUACGUG
Molecule: ribosomal RNA, 468 nt
Filed under: uncultured bacterium
Lineage: Bacteria
Description: partial 16S ribosomal RNA
Rfam family: Bacterial small subunit ribosomal RNA
Source: RNAcentral